GAUGAACGCUGGCGGCGUGCCUAAUACAUGCAAGUCGAGCGAACAGACGAGGAGCUUGCUCCUCUGACGUUAGCGGCGGACGGGUGAGUAACACGUGGAUAACCUACCUAUAAGACUGGGAUAACUUCGGGAAACCGGAGCUAAUACCGGAUAAUAUAUUGAACCGCAUGGUUCAAUAGUGAAAGACGGUUUUGCUGUCACUUAUAGAUGGAUCCGCGCCGCAUUAGCUAGUUGGUAAGGUAACAGCUUACCAAGGCAACGAUGCGUAGCCGACCUGAGAGGGUGAUCGGCCACACUGGAACUGAGACACAGUCCAGACUCCUACGGGAGGCAGCAGUAGGGAAUCUUCCGCAAUGGGCGAAAGCCUGACGGAGCAACGCCGCGUGAGUGAUGAAGGUCUUCGGAUCGUAAAACUCUGUUAUUAGGGAAGAACAAAUGUGUAAGUAACUAUGCACGUCUUGACGGUACCUAAUCAGAAAGCCACGGCUAACUACGUG
Molecule: ribosomal RNA, 497 nt
Filed under: uncultured bacterium
Lineage: Bacteria
Description: partial 16S ribosomal RNA
Rfam family: Bacterial small subunit ribosomal RNA
Source: RNAcentral